This 566-nucleotide ribosomal RNA is filed under the name Talaromyces sp. PB24. RNAcentral's name for it is "eukaryotic LSU rRNA". The stretch from base 209 to 362 matches the Rfam family "5.8S ribosomal RNA". The record is from RNAcentral. Lineage: Eukaryota; Fungi; Ascomycota; Eurotiomycetes; Eurotiales; Trichocomaceae.
UAGGUGAACCUGCGGAAGGAUCAUUACUGAGUGCGGGUUCCAACGAGCCCAACCUCCCACCCGUGUUUACCGUAACCGCGUUGCCUCGGCGGGCCCACUGGGGCCUGUCCCCGGUCGCCGGGGGGCAUCUGCCCCCGGGCCCGCGCCCGCCGAAGCGCCCUGGAACCCUGUCUGAAUAGUGAGUCUGAGUGAAUGAUUGAAUCAUUAAAACUUUCAACAACGGAUCUCUUGGUUCCGGCAUCGAUGAAGAACGCAGCGAAAUGCGAUAAUUAAUGUGAAUUGCAGAAUUCCGUGAAUCAUCGAGUUUUUGAACGCACAUUGCGCCCCCUGGCAUUCCGGGGGGCAUGCCUGUCCGAGCGUCAUUUCUGCCCUCCAGCCCGGCUGGGUGUUGGGCGCUGUCCCCCCGGGGACACGCCCCAAAGGCAGUGGCGGCGCCGCAUGGGUCCUCGAGCGUAUGGGGCUUUGUCACCCGCUCUGAGGGACUCGUCGGCGCUGGUCUUCCCCCAGGCGGCCCGUCUCGGGCUCGUCUUCUUCCGGUUGACCUCGGAUCAGGUAGGGCUACCCGC